Molecule: ribosomal RNA, 505 nt
Filed under: Cervidellus vexilliger
Lineage: Eukaryota; Metazoa; Nematoda; Chromadorea; Rhabditida; Cephalobidae
Description: SSU rRNA
Rfam family: Eukaryotic small subunit ribosomal RNA
Source: RNAcentral
CGCGAAUGGNUCAUUAUAACAGCUAUCAUUUACUUGAUCUUGACACAAUCCUACUUGGAUAACUGUGGUAAUUCUAGAGCUAAUACAUGCAUUAAAGCUCUGACCGCAAGGGAAGAGUGCACUUAUUAGAACAAAACCAAGCGGCUUCGGCUGUUUUCGGUUGACUCAUAGUAACUGAGCUGAUCGCACGGUCUUGCACCGGCGACGUGUCUUUCAAGUAUCUGCCGUAUCAACUUUCGAUGGUAGUGUAUCUGACUACCAUGGUGAUCACGCGUAACGGAGAAUAAGGGUUCGGCUCCGGAGAGUUCGCCUGAGAAAUCGCGAACACAUCUAAGGAAGGCAGCAGGCGCGAAAAUUACCCACUCUCAGCACGAGGAGGUAGUGACGAAAAAUAACGAGACCGUUCUCUUAUGAGGCCGGUCAUCGGAAUGGGUACAAUUUAAACCCUUUAACGAGUAUCUAUGAGAGGGCAAGUCUGGUGCCAGCAGCCGCGGUAAUUCCAGCU